UGGUAGAUUCUACGAAGCACGGCUCUUGCUAGGGUUCGUAUUAACAACGUCGUCAGGUUUGAGCCCGUGAGCUGCUGCUCACCUACUAGUUAAGGUUAUAUUGAAAUAGCCUCUCAAGGCUAUCAGCUUAGGUAGGAAAAAAAAACCUAUGCAAAAUGCGGUAACCGUAUUUGUGGUGCGGGAACCAAACUCUUGAUAUACUAGGUUGAAGUUACAAUAGCGCUAAACUAAAUGGAUGUGUUUAUGCAACAAGCGCGCACGCAUAACGAGUACCACGGAAUAGAUAAAUAAGGUUGGAAUGGUAAUGUAGGCGGGGCAAGCGUGCCACUGUUAUGAUAGAACAAACAUAACUCGACCGAUUCUUUCAUUCACCGCGUUUAGUGCGCUUCGGACUACUUGGCGAACAGAUCUCCGCUUUAUAGUGCCGUGUUGUGCAAUUAUAACUUGUAAAACAAAAAAUCAGACCUCAAGUAUAGAGCGAGGAGGUAUAUCUUUCGAUCGGUUUCCUAAAGAACCUAACGCCAGGGAACAAUGGAUUGACGUGACAGGUAGAGGAAACUGGAGACAAAGACGAGUACUAUUUGCUCUAAACAUUUUACUGAAAAUGAUUUUAUCAUAAAAAAAAUCAGAAUACACUUAGUUUUGAAAAAUUCAUUCGCAAUUAAUAGCAAGCGCCAACUGCUUAACAAAUACGUUUUAUUCCAGCGACAGUGACUAUUUGUAAUUAAUAAAAGUAAAAUAGUUUUUUUUUUUCAAUAUUUA
Long non-coding RNA from Bombyx mori (domestic silkworm), 762 nucleotides. RefSeq lists it as uncharacterized. The transcript is spliced from 2 exons. NCBI's taxonomy places the organism in Eukaryota, Metazoa, Arthropoda, Insecta, Lepidoptera, Bombycidae. The record is from RefSeq and is a predicted model, not a curated record.